Molecule: long non-coding RNA, 267 nt
Organism: Centropristis striata (black sea bass)
Lineage: Eukaryota; Metazoa; Chordata; Actinopteri; Perciformes; Serranidae
Exons: 3
Source: RefSeq, a predicted model, not a curated record
GAGGAUGAUCUGUAGAAUGGCGACCAAGCACUUCCUGGCUCGGCUGGUUUCCAAGGUCUGACAUUACCUCUUCAAUGAAGUGCUGACCUUUGACCUCUUGGAGAUGCACCUCUUUCCACUGAUUGAUGCUUCCUUCCUGGCUCGGUCACAUCAUGUGAGAUGGACAGCCAGCCCUUUGAAGCCCCACUGUAAUUAACCUUUGGAGGAGAAUAACAAACCAGUACACAGGGGCACUGUGGCCCAGCUCAGCUGCUUUGAUGUGGUUCC